This 481-nucleotide ribosomal RNA is filed under the name Enterococcus faecium. RNAcentral's name for it is "bacterial SSU rRNA". It matches the Rfam family "Bacterial small subunit ribosomal RNA", at positions 68 to 520 of the family's 1533-position model. The record is from RNAcentral. Lineage: Bacteria; Bacillati; Bacillota; Bacilli; Lactobacillales; Enterococcaceae.
GCUUCUUUUUCCACCGGAGCUUGCUCCACCGGAAAAAGAGGAGUGGCGAACGGGUGAGUAACACGUGGGUAACCUGCCCAUCAGAAGGGGAUAACACUUGGAAACAGGUGCUAAUACCGUAUAACAAUCAAAACCGCAUGGUUUUGAUUUGAAAGGCGCUUUCGGGUGUCGCUGAUGGAUGGACCCGCGGUGCAUUAGCUAGUUGGUGAGGUAACGGCUCACCAAGGCCACGAUGCAUAGCCGACCUGAGAGGGUGAUCGGCCACAUUGGGACUGAGACACGGCCCAAACUCCUACGGGAGGCAGCAGUAGGGAAUCUUCGGCAAUGGACGAAAGUCUGACCGAGCAACGCCGCGUGAGUGAAGAAGGUUUUCGGAUCGUAAAACUCUGUUGUUAGAGAAGAACAAGGAUGAGAGUAACUGUUCAUCCCUUGACGGUAUCUAACCAGAAAGCCACGGCUAACUACGUGCCAGCAGCCGCGG